RNAcentral lists this ribosomal RNA (906 nucleotides) under uncultured archaeon. RNAcentral describes it as "bacterial SSU rRNA". It matches the Rfam family "Archaeal small subunit ribosomal RNA", at positions 44 to 952 of the family's 1478-position model. The record is from RNAcentral.
CUAAGCCAUGCGAGUCAAAUGUUCUUCGUGAACAUGGCGUACUGCUCAGUAACACGUGGACAACCUGCCCUAAGGUCUGGCAUAACUCCGGGAAACUGGGGAUAAUUCCAGAUGAACCAUAGAUACUGGAAUGUGCUGUGGUUAAAAGCUCCGGCGCCUAAGGAUGGGUCUGCGGUCUAUCAGGUAGUAGUGGGUGUAAUGUACCUACUAGCCGACGACGGAUACGGGUUGUGGGAGCAAGAGCCCGGAGAUGGAUUCUGAGACAUGAAUCCAGGCCCUACGGGGCGCAGCAGGCGCGAAAACUUUACAAUGCGGGAAACCGCGAUAAGGGGACACCGAGUGCCAGCAUCUUAUGUUGGCUGUCCGCAUGUAUAAAUCACAUGUGUUAGCAAGGGCCGGGCAAGACCGGUGCCAGCCGCCGCGGUAACACCGGCGGCCCGAGAGGUGGCCACUAUUAUUGGGUCUAAAGGGUCCGUAGCCGGUUUGGUCAGUCUUCCGGGAAAUCUGACGGCUUAACCGUUAGGCUUUCGGGGGAUACUACCAGGCUUGGGACCGGGAGAGGUAAGAGGUACUACGGGGGUAGGAGUGAAAUCUUGUAAUCCUCGUGGGACCACCAGUGGCGAAGGCGUCUUACCAGAACGGGUCCGACGGUGAGGGACGAAGGCUGGGGGCACGAACCGGAUUAGAUACCCGGGUAGUCCCAGCCGUAAACUAUGCUCGCUAGGUGUCAGGGACGGUGCGACCGUUUCUGGUGCCGCAGGGAAGCCGUGAAGCGAGCCACCUGGGAAGUACGGUCGCAAGGCUGAAACUUAAAGGAAUUGGCGGGGGAGCACUACAACGGGUGGAGCCUGCGGUUUAAUUGGACUCAACGCCGGAAAACUCACCGGGGGCGACAGCAAUAUGUAG